AGAGUUUGAUCAUGGCUCAGGACGAACGCUGGCGGCGUGCCUAAUACAUGCAAGUCGAGCGGACCUUUCGGGGUCAGCGGCGGACGGGUGAGUAACACGUGGGCAAUCUGCCCGAUACUCUGGGAUAACGCUUGGAAACGAGUGCUAAUACCGGAUGGUCUUCUUGGCCGCAUGGCCGAGAAGGAAAAGACGCGUUCGCGUCGGUGUCGGAUGAGCCCGCGGCGCAUUAGCUAGUUGGUGAGGUAACGGCCCACCAAGGCGACGAUGCGUAGCCGACCUGAGAGGGUGACCGGCCACACUGGGACUGAGACACGGCCCAGACUCCUACGGGAGGCAGCAGUAGGGAAUCUUCCACAAUGGGCGAAAGCCUGAUGGAGCAACGCCGCGUGAGUGAUGAAGGCCUUCGGGUUGUAAAACUCUGUCAUUCGGGACGAACCGGAGUCUGAGGAAAUGCAGACUCUCUGACGGUACCGGAGGAGGAAGCCCCGC
RNAcentral lists this ribosomal RNA (489 nucleotides) under uncultured bacterium. RNAcentral's name for it is "bacterial SSU rRNA". It matches the Rfam family "Bacterial small subunit ribosomal RNA", at positions 8 to 496 of the family's 1533-position model. The record is from RNAcentral.